ACUACCGAUUGAAUGGUUUAGUGAGGCCUCCUGACUGGCGCCGACACUCUGUCUCGUGCAGAGAGUGGGAGGCCGGGAAGUUGUUCAAACUUGAUCAUUUAGAGGAAGUAAAAGUCGUAACAAGGUUUCCGUAGGUGAACCUGCGGAAGGAUCAUUACCGAAAGAGAGAUACGUAGUUUUAGUGCUACGAGUUCUUCUACCCUGGGAACCAGUGGAAAAAAUUAUCAUUAGGGGUCGGCUGGUUCCGUUAAAAGGAGAGGGCCGCGAGGCGUCGCUCGGACUGCCGUGCUAGGUGACUUUGGUGGAGAUGGAUGGAGACUGCUCAGUGGGAUCGUAGCGUGACCGUGCGGUGUGGCGUAGGACGCUUCGUGCGCCGCGUCGGUGCCUGCCUACGUUUCUCGUUGUGUGUGUCUCUUUCUCUCUCUCUCUCCGUGUCUAUCUAGUGCGUGCACUCGAUGUGCCGCGGCGCGGUCGGCUCCUGCCCCGCAGACGUUUGACAGACGAUUUGUUUCAAAGAACUGAGCACAGAGAUACCUGUAGAGUGGAUCUAUAGAGAAAAAAAAAGUUUGACAACUUUUGACGGUGGAUCUCUAGGCUCACCCAUCGAUGAAGAACGCAGCCAGCUGCGAUAAGUAGUGUGAAUUGCAGAAUUCAGUGAAUCAUCGAAUCUUUGAACGCAAAUGGCGCUCUUGGGUUCUCCCAGGAGCAUGUCUGUCUGAGUGUCUAUUCAAACACCCAUCGUGCGAAUCCGCGUGCGCGCGUCCGCCUGGUCCCCGUCUGUAGCGGAUGGGGCCGGGACGCGCCCGCCGUGAACGGGUUCGUGCGGCGUUGAGGGUCGCGGUCGAGAUGACCGGUCGUGCGCUAGCCAGCCCUGGUGCUGCUCGGCCCGACCGGUCGGUUUACCGCGUCCCUUGAAAUUCAGGGAGAAAGAUCCGCCAAGCGACAUCCGGUGUCGCGCGGGGAUCAUAGAACAAGAUACCCUAAACGGCCACGGCUCUACCGCUUUGACGGAACAAAUCUUUCUCCAUUCGAUUCUUUUUUCUGCUGCCGCCGGGUAGCGGUGGCGGCAUCUCAAAGGAAAAAAGGAAUCGCCUUCCAGACCUCAGAUCAGGCAAGGCUACCCGCUGAAUUUAAGCAUAUUAAUAAGCGGAGGAAAAGAAACUAACAAGGAUUCCCCCAGUAACGGCGAGUGAAGCGGGAAGAGCUCAAAUUUGAAAUCUCCGAUGCCUGCAUCGGCGAGUUGUAGUUGCGAGAAGCACUUUCUAGGCGGAGGGGCCCUGCCUAAGUUGCUUGGAACGGCACGUCGCAGAGGGUGACAACCCCGUCUGUGGCAGGGCCGGCCGCCCACGAUGUGCUUUCGAAGAGUCGGGUUGCUUGGACUAAUCACUAGUGAAUUC
RNAcentral lists this ribosomal RNA (1397 nucleotides) under Pocillopora damicornis (cauliflower coral). RNAcentral describes it as "eukaryotic LSU rRNA". The stretch from base 1098 to 1397 matches the Rfam family "Eukaryotic large subunit ribosomal RNA", at positions 1 to 306 of the family's 3401-position model. Lineage: Eukaryota; Metazoa; Cnidaria; Anthozoa; Scleractinia; Pocilloporidae. The record is from RNAcentral.